This 588-nucleotide long non-coding RNA is filed under the name Salvator merianae (Argentine black and white tegu). RNAcentral describes it as "lncRNA (ENSSMRG00000000672.1)". Lineage: Eukaryota; Metazoa; Chordata; Lepidosauria; Squamata; Teiidae. The record is from RNAcentral.
ACGUGGAAAAGCAUACAGGUCAGUCUCUGUUUCUGGAAGAAAGCAGCCGAAAAGGUCAGAGAAGUAGCACAGUAUUUGAAAAGGCCCCUGAACACUUUACACGUGAAUUUUUGUUGUUAAAUCAAAUUCUACAAUCACUGAAGGGUAAAUAUGAGUUUUUGUUGGACAAUUUUCUACUCAAUUCUUUUGAUUUUUCAGAAUCAGUCAAACUCUUCUUGUAACUUUCAGAAACAAAUACCCACAAAGAUAAAUCACAAAGCACAAUGAGUCAACAACAGGAAACAUCAGUGAAAGAACUAGAAAAUAUGUUUAAUGCAGAGACAAAUAUCCAUGAAGAUCGAUCACAAAGCAUAGUGGCUCACCGACAGGAAACAUCAAUGAAGGAACUAGAAAACAUAUUAAAUGACCUAAAAGAACAAAAUGGAGAUAACUGAAGCAAGAGGGGAUACAGCUACAAAGCAGUGGUGGCUUAUAGGUCCUUUACAGGAGAAUGUGGAGAUCAUUUGAGGCUCAAGUUGGAUACUUUCCCUCAAUCUCACUGAACUAUCUUUUGGCCAGGUGCCUGACUUGCUUCUGGUGCCACAUGGA